AAAACUUUAAGUUAAAUAAACUAAAAACCUUCAAAGUUUUCAAUAGAUAUUCUCUAAGUUUUG
Molecule: transfer RNA, 63 nt
Filed under: Amynthas redactus
Lineage: Eukaryota; Metazoa; Annelida; Clitellata; Crassiclitellata; Megascolecidae
Description: Amynthas sp. 1 LZ-2016 tRNA-Trp
Source: RNAcentral